GUUACGCUAAUACCGCAUAUUCUGUGAGCAGGAAAGCAGGGGAUCGCAAGACCUUGCGCUGAUUGAGUGGCCGAUAUCAGAUUAGCUUGUUGGUGAGGUAAAAGCUCACCAAGGCGACGAUCUGUAGCGGGUCUGAGAGGAUGAUCCGCCACACUGGAACUGAGACACGGUCCAGACUCCUACGGGAGGCAGCAGUGGGGAAUUUUGGACAAUGGGGGCAACCCUGAUCCAGCCAUGCCGCGUGAGUGAAGUAGGCCUUCGGGUUGUAAAGCUCUUUCAGCCGGGAAGAAAACGCAUGGGUUAAUACCCUGUGUGGAUGACGGUACCGGAAUAAGAAGCACCGGCUAACUACGUGCCAGCAGCCGCGGUAAUACGUAGGGUGCGAGCGUUAAUCGGAAUUACUGGGCGUAAAGCGUGCGCAGGCGGUUUUGUAAGACAGGCGUGAAAUCCCCGGGCUUAACCUGGGAACUGCGUUUGUGACUGCAAGGCUAGAGUACGGCAGAGGGGGGUGGAAUUCCACGUGUAGCAGUGAAAUGCGUAGAGAUGUGGAGGAACACCAAUGGCGAAGGCAGCCCCCUGGGUCGAUACUGACGCUUAUGCACGAAAGCGUGGGUAGCAAACAGGAUUAGAUACCCUGGUAGUCCACGCCCUAAACGAUGUCAACUAGGUGUUGGGAGGGUAAAACCUUUUAGUACCGGAGCUAACGCGUGAAGUUGACCGCCUGGGGAGUACGGCCGCAAGGUUAAAACUCAAAGGAAUUGACGGGGACCCGCACAAGCGGUGGAUGAUGUGGAUUAAUUCGAUGCAACGCGAAAAACCUUACCUACCCUUGACAUGCCAAGAACUUUCCAGAGAUGGAUUGGUGCCCGAAAGGGAACUUGGACACAGGUGCUGCAUGGCUGUCGUCAGCUCGUGUCGUGAGAUGUUGGGUUAAGUCCCGCAACGAGCGCAACCCUUGUCGUUAAUUGCCAUCAUUUAGUUGGGCACUUUAACGAGACUGCCGGUGACAAACCGGAGGAAGGUGGGGAUGACGUCAAGUCCUCAUGGCCCUUAUGGGUAGGGCUUCACACGUCAUACAAUGGUCGGUACAAAGGGUCGCCAAGCCGCGAGGUGGAGCCAAUCCCAGAAAGCCGAUCGUAGUCCGGAUCGCAGUCUGCAACUCGACUGCGUGAAGUCGGAAUCGCUAGUAAUCGUGGAUCAGAAUGUCACGGUGAAUACGUUCCCGGGUCUUGUACACACCGCCCGUCACACCAUGGGAGCGGGUUCCGCCAGAAGUAGGUAGCCUAACCGCAAGGAGGGCGCUUACCACGGCGGGGUUCGUGACUGGGGUGAAGUCGUAACAAGGUA
RNAcentral lists this ribosomal RNA (1347 nucleotides) under metagenome. RNAcentral's name for it is "bacterial SSU rRNA". It matches the Rfam family "Bacterial small subunit ribosomal RNA", at positions 157 to 1498 of the family's 1533-position model. The record is from RNAcentral.